AGCAAAAGGAUGGUGGCCUUUCACAUCCUGGUGCAGUGCAUCAGUUACACGCUCAGAAAAUGGAGAGUUACAUUUAAAACUGGAGCAUCAGUCCUAUCUUCUGGAACUGAGCCCUCCUGGCCCAGCUGUUAUCCCAUAUGGGCAGCCUGACUUACCUAGAUGGACCACUCAGGACAGGGCCUUGAAUGGUGCCACCAAAGGAGAUUCCUGGCCCACCCACAUGGUGAGGCCCCCAGGGUGCCAACGGCAGCUUCAAUCCAGCCUACAUCUGCCACUUGGCUUUUGGACCUGGCCAGUAGAACCCUGCCCCCAUGGGCCAGCCCUCCAUUCAGAUAUGGAGGCCAGCUGGAUUUGGCCUGUGGGCACAAUCCCUGUUCUCAAUGAAAGGAUGGAUCCCUGAUGUGGAAUGACAUAUUGCCAAAUACCUGCACCCCAGGUUGUGCCCACAUAGAUGCCUGCAACAGCACACA
Carlito syrichta (Philippine tarsier) is the source of this 470-nucleotide long non-coding RNA. RefSeq lists it as uncharacterized. NCBI's taxonomy places the organism in Eukaryota, Metazoa, Chordata, Mammalia, Primates, Tarsiidae. The transcript is spliced from 4 exons. The record is from RefSeq and is a predicted model, not a curated record.